This 253-nucleotide ribosomal RNA is filed under the name uncultured bacterium. RNAcentral describes it as "partial 16S ribosomal RNA". It matches the Rfam family "Bacterial small subunit ribosomal RNA", at positions 524 to 776 of the family's 1533-position model. The record is from RNAcentral.
UACGUAGGGGGCAAGCGUUGUCCGGAAUCAUUGGGCGUAAAGAGCGUGUAGGCGGUCCGGUCAGUCGGUUGUGAAAGUCAAGGGCUCAACCCUUGAAUGGCGGCCGAUACUGCCGGGCUAGAGUCCGGAAGAGGUGAGUGGAAUUCCUGGUGUAGCGGUGAAAUGCGCAGAUAUCAGGAGGAACACCAGCGGCGAAGGCGGUGCUCUGGGCCGGAACUGACGCUGAGGAGCGAAAGCGUGGGGAGCGAACAGG